RNAcentral lists this microRNA precursor (83 nucleotides) under Sorghum bicolor (sorghum). RNAcentral's name for it is "MIR5387 microRNA precursor family". It matches the Rfam family "MIR5387 microRNA precursor family". Lineage: Eukaryota; Viridiplantae; Streptophyta; Magnoliopsida; Poales; Poaceae. The record is from Rfam by way of RNAcentral.
UCGUAACACGAACCGGUGCUAAAGGAUCCUGCCUAACGGUGCUGUCAGGGCAGGGACCCUUUAGCACCGGUUUGUGUUCUGAA